GUUGAUGAGAGUAGAAGCUGAUCACUCAGUGAUGAUAUGACUGAUUUUAGAGGCACAAUAACCCAUUUCUAAAUCAACGGUUAUAAUCCAAAAUCAAGACCUAAUCUAACGGUGAGAAUUAAAUAUCAAAGAUUUGAUAUCUCUCACUAUCUCUAACGAGUCUCUUCAGUUUUCACUUCAGACUCUCAGUCUUAGAGUUCAGAUGGUCUUGGCUUCCCCUUCAUGCUUCCUCCCCUUUUCACUCUUCCUCACCUCUUCACUUCUUUAGUCUCAGUUCUCUACUUGGCUCUCUCAAACUCUCAUAGUCUCACUUCUCUAUUUAGUAUUUUGGUUCACUUUUCAACACUCACUAAAUAGUUUCCCCAAAUCCAAACCCUAGCCGCCUCCAAUGCCAUAGCCCACUCCCCUCUCCGCAUCCAAUGCCUAGCCAUCGCUGCCACUGUCCACUCCUCUCUCUGUAGCUACCGCUGGUGUUUAGUCCUCACCCCGCUGUUGUGUACUCUUCACUAAGUCAGUUCAUACUCCAAACGCUUAGGAUUGAGACUCCAAGUAGCGUUUUCUGCCUUCAAGUUUGAAACCCAUACACCCAUGGUUUUUUUUAAGGUGAUAUCACUGCAAACGCAUUGUGGUAGAGACUUAUUUCUUGCAUUUGAUUUUCAGGACUGACUUGAAGAAUUUAGAUCAUUUUCCAUUUCUGAUGUUGGACGAAUUUUCAGUUCAUGGGAACCUUCACUAAUGAACCCUCUAUCCAAACACCAGUUGUUACACAAGAUGAUGGUGCUAUUCCCACCCAAGUUGAAGCUUCUACUACUACCCAAGUUGAAGCAGUUGCUGUUGCUGAGUUGCCCACAGUUCCACCAUGCCAAGUGAGUAAUGACAGUUCUUGUUAGUAGUACUUGUAGUGGUAGGAAAAAGUCAGUUGUUUAGGGCCAUUUUGAAAAAGUAAAGAUAGGUAAGGGUGAUACUAGUAAAACUAAGGCUAUUUGUAAUUAUUGCCAAAAAUCGUAUAAUGCUGAUAGAAGAGUUGUGGUACUCGUAAUUUGUUAGCUUAUGUGCCAAUAUGUCCCAAGAACCCUAAUAGAGAAGAUCUAGUUAAAGGGCAGAAAACAUUAGCUUUUGAACCCAAAAAGGAUGGAGAAGAUGGGUUCCACCUUCUGUCGACAACCUUUUCUAUUGAGGCUUCUAGAAAAGCAUUGGCCAAAAUGAUUAUAAUUGAUGUGUUGCCUUUUAGGUAUGUCAAGGGGUUUGGGUUUAAGAAAUAUGUAAAUACCUUACAACCUAAGCUUCUAUUAAAGGAUAUCCCAUUUCGUCAAAUUGUUGAUAGAGAUGUGAUUGGCAUUUAUAAUAGUGAGAGAGAGAAGCUAAGGAAAUCCUUGAAGGGUUGUAGGGUGUGUCUCACUACGGACACAUGGAAUUCUAUUCAAAAUUUAAAUUAUAUGUGUCUCACAUGUCACUUUAUUGAUGAUGCUUGGAAAUUGCAUAAGAGAAUUUUAAAUUUUUGUUAAGUUGAAGACCACAAGGGGUGGACUAUAGGUAGAAAGAUUGAGAUGUCUUUGCGUGAGUGGGGGAUUGAUGGGAUAUUCACUUUGACAGUGGAUAAUGCUAGCUCAAAUUUAACAACAAUUAAAUUUUGCAAAGGGUGACUAAAGAUUGAAAUGGAACAGUUUUAGGAAAUGAGUUCAUGCACAUGAGGUGUUGUGCCCAUAUCCUUAAUCUCAUUGUGGGGGAGAGUUUGAAAGAGAUUGAUGCACUUGUUGCCAAGGUGCGUGUAGCUGUGAGCUAUGUGAAGUCCUCACCCAAUAGAAAUCAAAAAUUUAGGAGUUUUAUGGAAAGGUUAGGUAUGGAGUCCAAGAGUCUUCUUAGUGUAUAUGUACCUACUAGGUGGAACUUGACCUAUCUCAUGUUAGAAACUGCUGAAAAAUUUGAGAAAGUGUUCCUUUGAAUGGAUUUUGAAGAUGAUGGUCAUUCGUCAUACUUUAGGACCAAGGAAGAUAGUGGUGGUUUGGGAUCUCCUUGUAUGAGUGAUUUCCAAAGUUGUAGGGCAUUUGUGACUUUCUUAAGGGUUUUUUUUUUUUUUUAAUGCAACGAAGAAAUUCUCCGGUUCUUUGUACGUUACUUCAAAUGCCUUUUAUGAUGAGAUCUUUGUUAUUUAGGAGAGUAUUUCUAAUUUAGUUAAAUCCCAGAACACUUUCUUGAAAAACACAGCCAAAAACAUGCAAACUAAAUUUGAGAAGUAUUGGGGGGAAGGGGAAAAAAUUAAUCUUCUUUUGUAUGUGGCUGUGGUUCUUGAUCCACCAAAAAAAUUGAGGUUUUUGAAGUUUUCUUUUUUUGAAUUUAUGGGAAUGCAGUGGCAGAAGUGAUGGUUGAUAAGGUGAAAGAUCUUUUGUAUAAGUUGUAUAGUUUUUACUCUUCUAUUCAUUCACUAAAUGUGUAAGAACAAAGUGGGAGUGAGAGGACAGAAUUGGAAAGUGAUGCUAGUGAUCCAUAUGUGUUGGUUCACUUGCGAUAUGAACGUUUCUUGCAAUUUGAGCAAUUUGUAGGUUGUAGUAAUGAGGUGGAAAAGUAUUUGGCUGAAAACUGUGAUGGUAGAAAGGAUGUGAAUUUUGAGAUACUGGAGUGGUGGAGAGACAAUUGUAGUAGGUACCAAGUGUUGUCUAAAGUUACUAAGGAUGUGCUGGUUGUACCAGUUUCCACUAUUGCAUAUGAGUCAGCAUUUAGCACUGGAGGCCACAUUGUUGAUCCAUUUCGAAGUUCACUAUCUCCUUUCAUGGCUCAAAACCUUGUAUGUUCACAAAAUUGGCUUCAAGCCACAGUUCCAAUUUCUCAUUGCCAAUCAAGGGAUGAUGUAGAGGCAUUGGAGGAGGAGUUGCUUGACUUAGUUUUAAAUCAACAACCAACAGCAAGUGCAAUAGCAAAUACCAUCUUAAGCAAGGGUUCCACUUCAGGCAAACGACCCUUAAUUAGCAUUGAUGAUUAAUCACUAACUUGGAGGAUGGUCAUUUAUUUUGUAAAGAAGGCAGCUUUUUGGGAAUAUUUUGGAAGCUUUUUUGAAUGUAUCGCUUUUCUAACUUCUAGCAAUACUCAUCUGCCAAUGCAUAUAGAAAAGAAAUCUUAGUUCAUAGGUUUUCUUUUCUAUUAGUUAUAGACUUAUAAACUAUAGAGUAGUCAUUCAAUGCUUUGGGAAAGCUAUUUUUUGGAAAUACUUAUGGUAUUUGAUUAUUGUAACUAAUUAUAUUGCUUGGAACGUUUUAUAACUAGCAAGCUUUUUGCCUUA
Molecule: long non-coding RNA, 3274 nt
Organism: Quercus robur (English oak)
Lineage: Eukaryota; Viridiplantae; Streptophyta; Magnoliopsida; Fagales; Fagaceae
Exons: 7
Source: RefSeq, a predicted model, not a curated record